UAUGGCACUGGUAGAAUUCACUGUGCAACCCCGCGGUCAGUGAAUUACCAUAGGGCCAUAAA
Molecule: microRNA precursor, 62 nt
Filed under: Columba livia (rock pigeon)
Lineage: Eukaryota; Metazoa; Chordata; Aves; Columbiformes; Columbidae
Also listed under: 2 other names
Description: Cli-Mir-96-P3-v1_pre stem-loop
Rfam family: mir-183 microRNA precursor family
Source: RNAcentral